GGAGUAGUAGCUCAGUGGUAGACCACUUGCCUAGCAUGCAGGAGGCACCAGCACCAGGUUAGAUCCUCAGCACCA
Molecule: transfer RNA, 75 nt
Filed under: Marmota monax (woodchuck)
Lineage: Eukaryota; Metazoa; Chordata; Mammalia; Rodentia; Sciuridae
Description: tRNA.Ala
Source: RNAcentral